GAGAUCUUGGAGAAUUUACCAGAGCAGAAAAAUUGGGAUGAUUGUGGGUUCUUUGCCUUCAACUACAUGUUCAACUGGAACGGUCACCAGCUCAUCAACCCGAUAAGUGAGGACACAGUUGAGUUAAGAAAGAAGUUCAUGAUGCAGCUGCUGACCUUCACGGGAAAUGAGGCCACUUUACCG
This is a long non-coding RNA of Phragmites australis (common reed), 183 nucleotides long. RefSeq lists it as uncharacterized. The record is from RefSeq and is a predicted model, not a curated record. The transcript has 3 exons. Lineage: Eukaryota; Viridiplantae; Streptophyta; Magnoliopsida; Poales; Poaceae.